GUGUCAGCCGCCGCGGUAAUACAGAGGUCCCGAGCGUUGUUCGGAUUCACUGGGCGUAAAGGGUGCGUAGGUGGCCUAAAAAGUUUGAUGUGAAAGCUCAGGGCUUAACCCUGAAAUGGCAUUGAAUACUGUUGGGCUGGAGGUUUGGAGGGGGGACUGGAAUUCUUGGUGUAGCAGUGAAAUGCGUAGAUAUCAAGAGGAACACCAGUGGCGAAGGCGAGUCCCUGGACAACACCUGACACUGAGGCACGAAAGCCGGGGGAGCAAACAGGAUUAGAAACCCCUGUAGUCC
Molecule: ribosomal RNA, 292 nt
Filed under: uncultured bacterium
Lineage: Bacteria
Description: partial 16S ribosomal RNA
Rfam family: Bacterial small subunit ribosomal RNA
Source: RNAcentral